Molecule: long non-coding RNA, 1397 nt
Organism: Daphnia carinata
Lineage: Eukaryota; Metazoa; Arthropoda; Branchiopoda; Diplostraca; Daphniidae
Exons: 5
Source: RefSeq, a predicted model, not a curated record
AAUUCUCUACAUACACUCACCGAAUUUUUCUGCUGCAUCGCGCUAGCGCUGUAGCGUACUUUGCGGUUGCCAUACGUCGUCAGGAUAUUUCAUCAUAUUUUGGUUUCACCCCAUCUGUCAUUUGUACCAAUUGUAGAUACUGUCCCUAACAAGUCUUCAUGUUUGCAUUCUUGCCAGUGGUACUGAUACUUUUUUUUUCACAACCUCUUGUUUCAGCUGUUCCUAGUAUUGAAGCAUUACUUAUGCAAGUACUUAGAGAGGGCUGCCCAUUACAAAAGAAGAGCUUAUCACGAUGCUGUGAUUGUAUGUUUGCAAAACUGGGAAAAUUUCUGUGCUGUGGGGGCCUUAAGUAUGUGCUUAACAUUUUGAAAAAUGUGAACAGCAAAAACAGUUCAUCAGAAUUUCAAACGUCAAAAGUACUUAUUUCUGGAAAUCAGUUAAUCUACAUCCUGAUUUUCUGCUGUUUCAUCAGUCACUAUGCAGUGUGUUUGGACAACGGAAGCAUUCUUGAAUAAGACUGCCUCAGUUUAUAUCGAAGAUGUAUUGCUUGUCAUGCCUGGUGACCAACUUUACAGGACUAUGUUCAAAUUUAGAUUACAUACCUAGUAUGAAAGAGAUCAAGUAUAUUACCGAAAUUGGCUAUCUCAGUUCGCGAAUUCCGAACUCAUCCUCAGUCUGUCAUUCUGAUGCAGGGGUCCUGAAAGAAGUUGGAACGUUUUGAACCGUCUCAGCCAAUAAGUAUUAGAAAAUGGUAGGCGCUUAAUGAUGAGUUUCUUCGCUGCCCGUCAACUUACCAUCCAAGCAAGCACUGUCUGUCAAACCAUUAGCCGAAUGUAAUUAAUUCCAGUAGUUCACCAAAACAAGAGGUUAAGAAUCGUACUGAAUCAAAAGAGGUAUCUAGUCGAACCAAAUUUCAUAAUGAUAACGGUUGGAAGCCCGAAGAAAUUUUUGAAAAAUGCCUCCUGCCCAUUACCUUCAGUCGUUGCUGCUGCCUGAAAACAAAGUAUUAAAAUUUAUAUAAAUUGAAGUGCAUAUCUGGGCUCCCUUCUUUUCUGUGGCCCCGUUUCCCUUAAAUUUUUAAUAAGCCCGUAGGGGGUCAUGCCCCUACUGUGAUCAGCAGUAAACGGUUGUGAGUGCGCUGUCCGGAAAGGGGACGUGGGGGUCCCCAUGGUUCGAUGAUAUCAUUGGAGGGCUGUGGGGCUGCCCAAAAAUCCGAAUUAACGGUUAAUCGCUCACGUAAAAGCUUGUCCGCGACCUUCGCUCUUCUUCCGGCUUCUCUUAGCCACGCACCGGGUAAUCUCCCCGGUGAGUCAACUGAGGUAGUGUCUCCCCCUACCUUGGUUGACAGCAACUUUGAAAUCGGCUAUUUUGCCCUUUCAAAGUUGCAAGUCUUUAAA